AAGGAAGGAAGGAAGGAAGGAAGGAAGGAAGGAAGGAAGGAAGGAAGGAAGGAAGGAAGGAAGAGUUACAAAACGGUGAUGUCACAGCGGACACGGGAAGAACUACACGAGGACACGCUGGACAUCUCAAGUGCAGUACUGGGUCACAAAGGCAAAGGUGAACGUUGCAGCCUGAGAUCUGCUGAACCCAAAAACACUGAAGACUGAUAAUCAAGAGACAAGUGGCACUAUUUGCUCAGAGGGCUGAGGUUCUGACCACACGGGAGACAGAGUGGAACUAUUGAAGAACUGGAAAUAAUUCUGUGCUGUAUUACCUUCUUCUACUCUGCCACAUGAACAGUUCAUAAGCUCCCUGACCCACAAAACUGGCCAUCCACCAAAUCUGGCUAUCCAGGAACUCUGAACAUGACUGAAAGCCUGUUGGGAGCUAAACUGACACCAUGACCUGAAUGACACUUGCAGCUGAAGCCAGGUGGGACAGACCAGUCCAUGGAGUAAGAGUGCUUCUAUGAACCCUUGGUCCUGCAGAAGUCUUCUGGGAAUGUGUGGAAAAUACAUCUCUUUGGACAAGUGAAGCAGGCACAUAACACCACAAUGCCUUGUGCUGGUGUUUGUGCCAGUCAGGAGAGUUUACUGUACUAGACAGCCUGCUGGGAAAUGACCUUGGCAGGGUGGUGAGGAACAUCAAACAUGUAGAAGUCUGGUGAUGGGCACUAAAUAAAGCCUGUCCCCACAAUGUUGUCUCAUCUAUUGCACAUGUGAAGAAGCUUUUACAGCUGAGCUCUUUUGAUGGAAAGGGCAAGCAGAGAUUAUCUAGUGUGCCUUUCUCAAUCUGUGUGGCUGGCCUCCCAGGGAAACGCUCUGAUCUUUUCCUAGUACAGCACGUGUGUGUAACUCUGGGGCAAAUAAGAAAUGGAAUGUGGGUCAUUUAUUUGUUUAGUUCUGUGCAGACCCCCAACAGCCUGUGCUGGCUACUCAGUGCUGAAUGCUUAUUAUUCAA
Long non-coding RNA from Prinia subflava (tawny-flanked prinia), 1000 nucleotides. RefSeq lists it as uncharacterized. The transcript has 4 exons. Lineage: Eukaryota; Metazoa; Chordata; Aves; Passeriformes; Cisticolidae. The record is from RefSeq and is a predicted model, not a curated record.